GUAAGAUGUGAUUUCGGCUAGCCCCACCUAACAGGGUUCUUUUAAAGUGCUUUAAAAUUCAGGUUUUGUUUUGGGGUGUGUGUGUCUGUGUGUGUGUGUCUGUGUGUGUGUGUGUGUGUGUGUGUCUGUGUCUGUGUGUGUCUGUGUGUGUCUGUGUCUGUGUGUGUGUGUGCCCCCCCAACAACAGGACUCUUUUAAAGUGCUUUAAAAUUCAGGUUUUGUUUUGUGUGUGUGUGUGUGUGUGUGUGUGUGUGUGUGUGUGUGUGUGUGUGUGUGUCUGUGUGUGUGUGUGUGUGUCUGUGUGUGUGUGUGUGUCUGUGUGUGUGUCUGUGUGUGUGUCUGUGUGUGUGUCUGUGUGUGUGUCUGUGUGUGUGUCUGUGUGUGUGUAUCUGUGUGUGUGUGUGUUUUGGCUGCAGGUACCUCAUGCCUGGCAGAGGCCAGGAGAGGGGUGGGAUCUCCUGAAACUGGAUUUGGAGACAGUGUGAACUACUGUGUGGGUGCUGGGAAUCUAAGAUGGGUCCUCUGGAAGAGCAGCCAGUGCUCUUAGUUGCUGAGCGCGUUUUUUUUUCUUGGAGAUAGGUCCGGCAAUGGGACAUCACCUUGAGGAAUAGUAAGUAGAGGGUGAGGAACCUGAGUAUUUAGAGAGGAUUCUAGUUAAACCCCUAUUCUAGUUUAGCAGGAUUCUUGCUAAAAUUUGAACAAUUGGACUAGGCAUGGUUGUGCACACCUUUAAUCCCAGCACUUGAGGAAACAGAGAUCCACCAGCCUCUGCCUCCCCAGUACUAAGAUUAACAGUGUGUCACCAUGCCCUGCCUGCUUCUGCUCUAUAAAAAUUUUCCAGCUCUUCCCUGUGUGGUUGCCUUCUCCCUCCUCACUACCUUGAGAUUAGCAAGCAAAAAACAAAACAAAACAAAACAAAAACAACAAAACCAGGCUCUGGGAUGAGGAGAAGGAACAAUCUCAGAAGCACAGGGAUCGUCCAGUGGCUCUCAGAUAUCACUGAUGUUCAUGUGAAAACUAGCCUUGGGUCACUUGGGAUAGACUCAAGAUUAUGGGCUCAAAGCAGUGACAAACUGAUUCUGGCAACAUAAAUGGGGGGGGGAGGGCGGUUCUGGGUAAUGUGAUGAGAAUCACCUGGCUAACAUUUGGAAUCUAAAAUUUCUUCUUCUUCUUUUUUUUUUUUUUGUAUUUUUUUG
This 1196-nucleotide long non-coding RNA is filed under the name Cricetulus griseus (Chinese hamster). Its description in RNAcentral is "lncRNA (ENSCGRG00015040400.1)". Lineage: Eukaryota; Metazoa; Chordata; Mammalia; Rodentia; Cricetidae. The record is from RNAcentral.